UACCAAGGUGAUGAUACGUAGCCGAACUGAGAGGUUGAUCGGCCACAUUGGGACUGAGACACGGCCCAAACUCCUACGGGAGGCAGCAGUAGGGAAUCUUCCACAAUGGACGAAAGUCUGAUGGAGCAACGCCGCGUGAAUGAAGAAGGCCUUCGGGUCGUAAAAUUCUGUUGUCAGAGAAGAAUGUGCGUGAGAGUAACUGUUCACGUAUUGACGGUAUCUGACCAGAAAGCCACGGCUAACUACGUGCCAGCAGCCGCGGUAAUACGUAGGUGGCAAGCGUUGUCCGGAUUUAUUGGGCGUAAAGGGAACGCAGGCGGUCUUUUAAGUCUGAUGUGAAAGCCUUCGGCUUAACCGAAGUAGUGCAUUGGAAACUGGAAGACUUGAGUGCAGAAGAGGAGAGUGGAACUCCAUGUGUAGCGGUGAAAUGCGUAGAUAUAUGGAAGAACACCAGUGGCGAAAGCGGCUCUCUGGUCUGUAACUGACGCUGAGGUUCGAAAGCGUGGGUAGCAAACAGGAUUAGAUACCCUGGUAGUCCACGCCGUAAACGAUGAGUGCUAAGUGUUGGAGGGCUUCCGCCCUUCAGUGCUGCAGCUAACGCAUUAAGCACUCCGCCUGGGGAGUACGGUCGCAAGACUGAAACUCAAAGGAAUUGACGGGGGCCCGCACAAGCGGUGGAGCAUGUGGUUUAAUUCGAAGCAACGCGAAGAACCUUACCAGGUCUUGACAUCUUCUGACAAUUCCAGAGAUGGAACGUUCCCUUCGGGGACAGAAUGACAGGUGGUGCAUGGUUGUCGUCAGCUCGUGUCGUGAGAUGUUGGGUUAAGUCCCGCAACGAGCGCAACCCUUAUUGUCAGUUGCCAUCAUUAAGUUGGGCACUCUGGCGAGACUCCGGUGACAAACCGGAGGAAGGUGGGGAUGACGUCAAAUCAUCAUGCCCCUUAUGACCUGGGCUACACACGUGCUACAAUGGACGGUACAACGAGUCGCUAACUCGCGAGGGCAAGCUAAUCUCUUAAAGCCGUUCUCAGUUCGGAUUGCAGGCUGCAACUCGCCUGCAUGAAGUCGGAAUCGCUAGUAAUCGCGAAUCAGCAUGUCGCGGUGAAUACGUUCCCGGGCCUUGUACACACCGCCCGUCACACCAUGAGAGUUUGUAACACCCAAAGUCGGUGGGGUAACCUUUUGGAGCCAGCCGCCUAAGGUGGGACAGAUGAUUGGGGUGAAGUCGGAACAAGGUA
This 1238-nucleotide ribosomal RNA is filed under the name metagenome. RNAcentral describes it as "bacterial SSU rRNA". It matches the Rfam family "Bacterial small subunit ribosomal RNA", at positions 266 to 1498 of the family's 1533-position model. The record is from RNAcentral.